This 327-nucleotide ribosomal RNA is filed under the name uncultured eukaryote. Its description in RNAcentral is "partial 18S ribosomal RNA". It matches the Rfam family "Eukaryotic small subunit ribosomal RNA", at positions 1470 to 1796 of the family's 1831-position model. The record is from RNAcentral.
CCCUUAGAUGUUCUGGGCCGCACGCGCGCUACACUGACGAAUGCAACGAGCUUAUAACCUUGGCCGAAAGGUCUGGGUAAUCUCCAAAUUUCGUCGUGAUGGGGAUAGAUUAUUGCAAUUAUUAAUCUUCAACGAGGAAUGCCUAGUAAGCGCAAGUCAUCAGCUCGCGUUGAUUACGUCCCUGCCCUUUGUACACACCGCCCGUCGCUCCUACCGAUUGAAUGGUCCGGUGAAGCGCUCGGACCGCGGCCUCUUGACGGUUCGCUGUCGAUUGGCUGUGGGAAGUUCGUUAAACCUUAUCAUUUAGAGGAAGGAGAAGUCGUAACA